AUGCAACCUAAGAAGAUUUUACCAAGACGAAAUAUAGAAAAGGCGAAGAAGAGAAAGAAGAUUAAAGAAUCAGAGAAACUUAAGAAAGAGAACAGUUAUUAUUCAAUUCACAACANNNNNNNNNNNGAUCUCUUUUAUAGAGCGUACAAUCAGCUCUGCUCUCUCGCUAACUGUUCAACAGUUUGCAACCACACCAAUCAACAUUAGACGCGUAUCAUCAGCAAUCAGAUGCUUCAAUUCCUCUCCUCUCAUAACCCCGCAAGGGUCCAUAUUAAACAGGGUGUUGGGAUUGAAAUUGGUUCAUAAACAACAUGAAUUACCUUAUUGGAGCU
RNAcentral lists this unclassified non-coding RNA (332 nucleotides) under Hevea brasiliensis (rubber tree). Lineage: Eukaryota; Viridiplantae; Streptophyta; Magnoliopsida; Malpighiales; Euphorbiaceae. The record is from RNAcentral.